Molecule: ribosomal RNA, 300 nt
Filed under: Triticum aestivum (bread wheat)
Lineage: Eukaryota; Viridiplantae; Streptophyta; Magnoliopsida; Poales; Poaceae
Description: partial small subunit ribosomal RNA
Source: RNAcentral
AUGCAUUUUUUUUUGUUCUUCAUAUUUUUGGCAGGGAGGUUAGCUUGGGUCCCCAAUUCUCCAGUGGUUCUGAACUCCAGCGACCACAACGUGGGUGUGGUACGUGCCGCUCGCACCAGCUUAUCAUCUAUGCAUGCGAGGUUCAUGCACCAGCAGCUCCCCUUGGCCAUCGGUAGUGUGGCAUGUAGUUCAUCCAUCGACGGUUGUGGUAAGAUAUGUAUGACCUUUCUGCAACAUGCAUCAUUUUAUCGCUGCAGUGAUCUUCUCUCUCACAGUAGUUCCCUUUGUUGCCAAAUGUAA